This 253-nucleotide ribosomal RNA is filed under the name uncultured bacterium. RNAcentral's name for it is "partial 16S ribosomal RNA". It matches the Rfam family "Bacterial small subunit ribosomal RNA", at positions 524 to 776 of the family's 1533-position model. The record is from RNAcentral.
UACGUAGGGUGCAAGCGUUAUCCGGAAUUAUUGGGCGUAAAGAGCUCGUAGGCGGUUUGUCGCGUCUGCUGUGAAAACUGGAGGCUCAACCUCCAGCCUGCAGUGGGUACGGGCAAACUAGAGUGCGGUAGGGGAGACUGGAAUUCCUGGUGUAGCGGUGAAAUGCGCAGAUAUCAGGAGGAACACCGAUGGCGAAGGCAGGUCUCUGGGCAUUAACUGACGCUGAGGAGCGAAAGCAUGGGGAGCGAACAGG